UUUGAUUGUUUCUUUUGGUUUGGUGAUAAGCAACUAUAUAUACUAUUACACUAUCGAUAGUACCAAAUACUUGGUGUGAUUAGAUUUUUGAUCCUUGGAUGAAGAGAUAUGCGGUUAGAAUGAUAGUGGUGCUCUAGAGUUCAGUGGAUAGUUGAUUGAAUAGUAUAAUCGAACGGAUGAAAAUGGUCAAAAAAGUAAAUCUAAAUACGAAAAACUCAACAAUACAAAACGUUUGACACUGUCUAUAAUAUAGUAGCCGGACUAUAUAAAGUAAAUAAGAACUAUGU
RNAcentral lists this long non-coding RNA (287 nucleotides) under Ananas comosus (pineapple). RNAcentral's name for it is "long non-coding RNA (ACOM_LNC021979)". Lineage: Eukaryota; Viridiplantae; Streptophyta; Magnoliopsida; Poales; Bromeliaceae. The record is from RNAcentral.